AAAAUAAGUAAGUGAAAGAAAGGCCAAAUAGCAUUAUUCAUUUGCCUUAGGUUUACAGGGUCACAGAUUCAUUAGCUUAAUUACAACCUCAUUUGGAUGCCAAAGAAUGAGCAAGAGCAAUCAGUAUUGCUACCUGGCUCUUGCUUCUUCUUCCUGGGUUUGUUUUGUUUUUCAGAGAAACAGGGAAGGGAGGACAUUUUCUAAUAUAAUUGUUUAUAGGGACAAAUUGUUAAAAUAUGAUGUGUGUGCAUUUUGCAAGUUUGACUUGUGUAAAAUAGAUUACCUCUCCUGUCUUCUUUCCUUCCCACACUGUAUACCAUCCUGCCUCAUGUCAACCCAAUGAAAUUGAUUCCAUUAUUUUUCCUCUUUCUUAUUUCCAAACCUCAUAGGCUAUCUUGCCUAUGAACAGUUGAAAGUUUUGACUUCUUUGGACUCAAUUGAAUUCACUAAAACAAUGAAUUUUAAUAAUUUUUUUCCAAAUUCUUAUUCCCAUUGCCUUUAAAAGUCCUUUAGAGGCAGGUUGUAUAAUCAUAAUAGCCUCCUCUGAACUGCCUUGAGUUGUUUUUCUUUUCUGCUUUUCUGUCACUUAUGUAAAGAGUACAUGUAUUUACAUAAACCUUCUCUGUCCCGGCCUAUUUCAAAAUAAAGUGGAAAUAAAAAUCUUUAGCUCAAUCUUACAGAAAUUUAUAUUAUCUACCCCAGAGUUUGAAGAUAAGGCCAUCUCCUUACACUAUAAUUGUAAUAUAGUGAACUUAAAGUGUAUCAAUCCUUUAUCAAACUUGUUUAUUCAUUAGCUUUUUCAGUCUCCAGUAGGCCCAUUUUACAAUUUAUUAUUAUUCCUCCUAGAAGGGCUUAUCAUUCAAAUAGCACACCACUAGUUACAGACUAUCCUUGAUCCAUUUCAUCUUUUUUGUAUAUUACCCCCAUUACAAAUUUCUACUUCUAUAUAACACCCUACCCACUUCCCCUCAGCCUUGCAGACAGCCUGCAAACUGUCUAAAUUUCUCCCAUAAAAAUAUGUAGAACAUCUGUUUCCUCUAGACAGCAUUUAUAUAGAUUUGGAAGAGAGUUCUCUAAACAUAUACCAAAGAGUAUGCAGCCUAACCUCGAAAAGUUAACAAUAAGUGAGCAUCAUGAUGGAGAGAGGGAAUUCACAGUGGAUGGAAGACACCUUGGAAUUAUUAAUAUGAUUGGGGACCUGGUCUUGGUGCUGUCUCUGCCACUGCCUAGGAGCAUGACUUUGAACAUGCCACCAGAUGACCUCCAAGUUCUCUUCCAAAACUAAAUUUCAAAGGUAAUUUUAGAGAAGUUCAUUUGUAUGGGAGGUUAGCAGAAAGAUACAGGAGGACCAUGGCCUCUGCUAACAUAACCCAACUAAUUUGGUAAUAAUUCUUGAUAUCAUGUCUUUGAGAGUAAGCCAUCUGGUAUCAAGUGAAUUGAAUUCAAUACCUAUUCAUGUUCCUUUAAAAAUAUAUAGGACAUACAGUUACAUUUGCAAGCCAAGUGGAAAAAUGUUACUAUUUUUGUAAUUUUCUAUAACUACAAUAUUUCCCUUUAAGAGAGAGUCUCAGAUAAUACAAAUCCUUUAUUUUUAGAUCCCUGGAAGAUAAAGAUGUUCUUAAACCAUUCUCUGUAAUUCAAUUAAGGAACAGCCAUGCAACACCCCAUCAUGGGUAGAAAAGCCAAUCUCUAGGCAGCAUCUAAGCCCAAAUGUUGUUGCAGUGCCCUCCUCAGUCUUGGACCCCACACUGUCUUGUUUCCUGAAAGUAGAGUAGCAGAUAUUUUUGAGCUCUCAGGCAAGAAGCAGCUUUCCAUCUAUAAUAGUUGGAAAGAUCCAAGGUCUUUAGAACAUCUGUUAUCCACUCUCCUUGCUCAAGUCCUUCCACCCCGGCUUACCUAGUUAACUACUUACCUAGUUAACUACUUACCUAGUUAAAUCCACUGGUGUUAGGCACAGCCAUGACAAAACUGACAGUUUAUUAAUUUGUGAUUAGCAUUCUAGCUAUUCAUGUUCUUCAAGCAUGCAUGAAGAAUUCCGGUCUCUGAACAUUGUCCUCAAUACAACUUCUGUAAACAGAUGUUCUUAACUUUUUCUUCUUUGUUGAAAGAUACCUUCCAACUCUAAACUUUCAUGAUUUUCCUGAGUAUUUCCUGGCCAUUCAAGCUUUUUCCACUCUACUAAGCUGUCUAGAUUUUAUCCAUUUUACCUUGAUGAUCCAGAUUUUGGGCAGUUCAAAAAUGAGUAGAGAGUAAGGGGGAAGAGAACUAUUCCCACUCCCAACAGAUAAAUAUCAUGCUCAGUAGACACUCUGUGUCCAGUUUUGUUUUCUGCUUUUUCCAUCUGUUCCACCCACUUGCUUACCCAUACAUAAAAGCCUUUCCUUAGUCUCUUGAGAAAAUAUAUAGAAGGAAAGUUUGCACAGCAGCAAAAUAGCCUGAAAUGUGCUCCAGUUCUUUUUGGUUAACAUUAUUGUUUAGACCAUAUGACCCAAUUUGCCUCAGACAGUCUCAGUGUGUAAUUAUUAAUAAAACUCCUUUUCACUCUCAAAAUUGUCCAUGUGAAUAAUAAAUGAUACGACCACCAUAAUUAUGGGAUCUCAGCCACCUGAAGGGUGGGGAAAUAUUAAUAAAUGUAACAUUAACACACUACAGAAAACAUGUCUUGGCUCCCUACAAAUCAUUUAAGUCUGGCCCAGUCUUCUCCACCACUCGUUCAUACUCACCUUAUUUCUCCAUGAGUUCCUUAAUUAGCUGCAAGCAAGCUCAUCCUCAGGUCUUCCUUAUCCUUCCACUCCAACAUCCACACAUCAUCCCAAAAUGUCCUCACUGCUGUGCUUGAAGUUUUACAUUUUAUUUCCACUGAUUAGAUAUUUUUCUUCCUAGCCCCAUCUCAAUCGUGGUUUAUGAAUCAGGCCAACAUCCUCAAAAAUGCUGUCCAUGAGCACCCUGCCUCAUUCUGUUCACUCUCCUGUUAACACUCCCUCAAUUCUUGUGGUCACUUUAUUCAAUAAUAAUAGACAGUUUAUUUGCACAUUUCUAGUUUUGCAAAGAGAUAUUCUGCCUCCCUUUGUGAGGUCCUUAAAAGCAAACACCCCAUUUUCUAAUUCUUUUGUAUUGUCCAAAGCAACUAUUGUUCUGCCCAUGGCAGGGUCUAUAAAUGCUGAUUAGAUCACCUACAGUGGGAAAGGCAGCAAAAGACAAACACUUUUUCAUAACAGGCAAUAUUUCAGGAUUAUAGAUAAUACCUUGUGGGACAGAUGACCUCCUCUCUCAAAUUAUUUUAGUCCCAUAGAGCCUCUAUCUACAACCUCUCAAAGAAUAAAAAAUGCAGUCAAAGGUACAGUUGAAUCCAGGUUUGUGUCUUGCAAAGUGGUCAUUAAGAUUUUUUUCUACUGGGAUUUUCCAAGCAGACUGAAUCCUGAUAAUACCACCAAUCUAGAUUCUACCAGUUCUAGAAGAAUUGAAUAUUCCUUGCUAAUUACCGCUGCUUUUCCUUUAUGGAAAAAGGAAAGUUUUCUUUUAUAGUUUUUUCCCCUGUUUAUCAUUGUUUGCCUUAUUAAUGGCCUUUUAAAUCUAGGUUCUACAGGGUAUUUAUUCUUGAAGCUGGGGCUACACUGUAUUAUUGAUGGAACAUUCCCAUGUGAAUUCUAAUACUCCCAGAAGGUACUGCACAACAAAUCCUAUUUCUGCCAAGAUAUAAAUAGAAGAUUUAGAACUAUAUAAGAGGGAUGGACAGUUCUUGACAUUCACCACUGCUUCUCAAGAGUGCAUAAAAUAUAAUAGAUGUACAAGGAAAUGCAUUUUCUGCCUCCACCCCCUUUUUUCAAUUAUUAACUUUCCAGUUGUCCUGUUAAAUAAUUUACUAAUUUGCAUAAAAGAAAUAUAUAAUUUGCAAGCCUUACCUCAGAGUGGCAACCAGCCAUCCCAGUUUACUAGAUAACGUAUUUUUCUACCUGAUACUCCUCAAAUAAAUUGAAUUGCAGUGUAUCUGCUUUUUCUUUUUUUAAGCUAAUUAAUUCAUUGUUGAUCUGUUUGUUAGAUCUUUUUAAAAUACUCACUGGAUAAAGCUUGAAAUUUUACAACAAUGCCCCUGAGACAAUUUUAGGGAAGUCCUUUGAUUAUUCUAACUUAACUUCAGUGUCAUGGAAAACAGAAUUAUAUAUCCAAGUGUUCUUUCAUAUUCAGAACAUCCAGUACUCUUCCAAGAAGGGAAUGUUCAUGAUUAUAUACACAUAUAUUUAUUGACUGUGUUGCUCAGCUUCUUAUCUCAAGGAGAGUCAGUAACUCUUUUUCUUGAUAAAAACUACCAUGUCAGCCAAGCACGGUGGUUCACACCUGUAAUCCCAGCACUUUGGGAGGCUGAGGUGGGCUGAUUUCUUGAGCCCAUGAGCUCAAGACCAGCCAGGACAACGUGGUGAAGCCCCGUUUCUACUUAAAAUACAAAAAUUAGCCAGGCAUGGUGGCGCGUGCCUGUAGUCUCAGCUACUCGGAGGGCUGAGGUGGGAGGAUCACUUGAGCCCGGGUGGCUGAGGCUGCAGUGAGCUGAGAUCGUGCCACUGUACUCCAGCCUGGGUGACAGAGUGAGACACUGCCUAAAUAAAGGAAAAAAAAAAAAAAAAAAAAAACUACCACGUGGCAUUAUACAAAGCCAAGAUUUCACAACAUUUUUGAAAAUUCCAAAUGACUUACAUGUUUACAAGGACCAAAAACUUUUUGAUAUUUUAAAAUAAGCUUUAUCCUUUUUAACCACCAUGCAGCAUGCUGUGCCAUCAUGAUGGAAGCCUGAUGGCUAAUGUGAAAUAAUGUUGGCAUGUCAUUUAAAAGGUUAACAGACAUGAAAAUUGGGAAGUUUAAUAUUGUUUAAUACAAAUAAAAUUGUUUUUGAAAGAAAGGCAUCUGUGUUGAGCGUGGCUUGCUUGAAAACUUCUCCUGUCUAUCAUCUCUGAACAUUAUUUUGCUCCUCUUGACUUUACUCAAGGGGCCUAAUCCUACAGUGAUUCAGGAGGUUUGAGAAAGCAGGACUCAUGAGACUAAAAAUUAGGAAACUACUAUCCUGCCAGCAAUGGGACACCUCUUUGGCUACCACCUCACCUAAAACUUCAUUGAAUCAGAAAAUUAGCUGAACUUUCCACACCAGUCUCCUGCAAUUUUAAUUCAUAGCAUCCUGUACUAAAUAGCUGGGGCUUUCAAAAGCAGGUGCUACGUAUAUACAGAAAGAAAUACAUACCUUCUGUUGCCUCUCAAAAUCCGUUAUGCUAAACUCACCAAAUACGUUACAUGUUAAAUGUUUCAUUCCUUGUGUUUUUAGAUCUCCAGUUACCAAUUUGCUAUCUAUCCUCCUACCAAACAUUAUUUAACCAACUCAUAUCCUGAUUGGUAUUACAAUUCUUGUAAAUAAAAGAAUCCUUUUCUCCCUCUUUAUUUUUACCAAGUAGACUUCUUUCAUUGCAAAUAAACAUAAAUUACAAUAUUUUAAGGCUCUUUGACAUAAGCAUUUGCUUUCUUACCUAAGCAGGUAAUACUUUUGUAUACCUACCAGACACUAAAGAAGCUAAAUGUCAAGAGUGAGUAUUUCAGUAAAACCUGUAGAAAUUUUAAUGAAAUGGGACAGGUUUAAAAAAAUGCCAAGAAAGGAAAAGGUGGACUCCUUACUUUUAUAUUUCAAGUUUUCUAUUUUGUAUCAAUAUAUGCUGCAUUUUCUGAUUGAAAUUGCUGUUCUGUCUAAUGAAACUUGUGAUUUUCUGUAGUUGCUUUUUACAUUUGAAAGCAAACUUUCAUACUGUGUGUGCUUAACUGUACCCCUUCUGUUAGGGAUUUGAUUAAAAUACUCUAACCGUUUCAUUAAUUCCUUUUUAUGUGCUUAAUGUAUGUGACAUUUAUGGCUUUGUUAUCUCAAAAGCUAUCUGUGGACAAAAUCCAUGAAGCCUGUUGACUGUGAUUUAUACACGUGAAAGAAAAAAACCAAUUUCCUCCUAAGCAGUGAAUCAGUGAAUAAGAAACUGUUCAGUGGCCUCUGAUUCCUGACCCUUUUACCCUUCAUGGCCUUUUUUCUAUUCUUAAUUAUUCCUUGAGUAAUUGUGUGUUCUUGUAAAAUGCAAAAUCAAUUUACAUGCAAUCAGGUAUGGACACAAGAAAUGCUUGUGCUCUCGAUUUCAGGACUCACAGAUACCAUAACAGUCACGGGACUGUAGUUCACUCAGUAUUUUUUGUUAAUAAUGUGGCUUUGCUAUAAAAUAACUUGGUGUUUCCUUUGCUUUGGUACUACAAGAUUUUAAAUGUUGCAGCAAAUGAAAGAAUGAAAACACAUUUGAAAGCUGGUGUCAAAAAUCAUCAGCUGUACUUAUAAAAGUUGUUGUGCAGCUUCUGAAAUGUAGUUUAUUGCUGUAAAUAUGUACAAUUUAUGUUAGCUCGUUUAUUCUGAAAACACAAAUAAAACUUUUUUUUAAAUUACAAAUGCCUACAUAUAAAAAGCUUACUUUGUACUACGUUUUAAAACAUGCAAGAUUUCAGGCAUAUCUUUUUAUAAUCCUUAAAAAUGUUUAGAAUUUUGAAUCUAUCAUUUGAGAACUUUUAUUACAAAAUUUAAUACAAAGCUACAUCCCUUUAUUUGGAAGAAAUUCAUUUCAGGAUUACUCAACAAUCAAAAAAAAAAAAAAAGAUACCAGCACAUUUCCAGGAGCUUGUGUCUGUACCACUUUGAUUUUUUUAAAUAUUAUUUAAGAUGACAACAUGCCUUACAAACACUUAAACAUAUGGUGUGUUUAUACUAGAAAAGAAGAAAUGAACAGUCUCCUUGUAUUCAAAAAUAAUGCCUAAAACUGACUUAUUGGCAUCCCUUUGUGAGGUGUAUUAUGUCAAACUUCUUUGAAAAUCUCCACUGUAAAUAUGAAUAUUAGAGUUGGCCUAUUUGUCAGACUUUCCUAAUUUGAAGACCUCCAACUUCCAAAUUAAUUCUCUCCCUUGAGAAAGAAUGUGUUGACAAUAAAACAAUGAAGAGACC
Long non-coding RNA from Homo sapiens (human), 7000 nucleotides. NCBI's taxonomy places the organism in Eukaryota, Metazoa, Chordata, Mammalia, Primates, Hominidae. The record is from Ensembl.